This 215-nucleotide unclassified non-coding RNA is filed under the name Hevea brasiliensis (rubber tree). Lineage: Eukaryota; Viridiplantae; Streptophyta; Magnoliopsida; Malpighiales; Euphorbiaceae. The record is from RNAcentral.
UGAAAUUUGAUUUUUCUCAUAAAAUUUGAUGUGGAAUCACUCAAUUGUAUUUAAAUUUUAUAUGACUGUAUAUGAAUGCACAGAUUUUACAAGAGAAACUACUAGGCUAAUGUGGUUUACAUAGCAAUAUCUCUACUACUACUAGUAGGGUCAUUGCAAUAGUGCUAGCAACAGUUGUUGACUCAACUACUUGACAGUCAAUCAUAGGUUCCCUA